Molecule: ribosomal RNA, 400 nt
Filed under: uncultured bacterium
Lineage: Bacteria
Description: bacterial SSU rRNA
Rfam family: Bacterial small subunit ribosomal RNA
Source: RNAcentral
UCGAGAAUCUUCGGCAAUGGGGGCAACCCUGACCGAGCGACGCCGCGUGGUGGAUGAAGGCCUUCGGGUUGUAAACACCUGUUGGGGGGGAACAUAACGAGUGAACCCCUGAGGAAGCACGGGCUAAGUUCGUGCCAGCAGCCGCGGUAAGACGAACCGUGCAAACGUUACUCGGAAUCACUGGGCUUAAAGAGCACGUAGGCGGCGACAUAAGUCAGAGGUGAAAUCCCAUCGGCUCAACCGUGGAACAGCCUCUGAUACUGUGUUGCUUGAGGGAGAACGGGGCAUUCGGAACUUCCGGUGGAGCGGUGAAAUGUGUUGAUAUCGGAAGGAACGCCGGUGGCGAAAGCGGAAUGCUGGGUCUCUUCUGACGCUGAGGUGCGAAAGCUAGGGUAGCGAA